This 428-nucleotide ribosomal RNA is filed under the name uncultured bacterium. RNAcentral's name for it is "bacterial SSU rRNA". It matches the Rfam family "Bacterial small subunit ribosomal RNA", at positions 355 to 775 of the family's 1533-position model. The record is from RNAcentral.
UGGGGAAUAUUGCACAAUGGGCGCAAGCCUGAUGCAGCCAUGCCGCGUGUAUGAAGAAGGCCUUCGGGUUGUAAAGUACUUUCAGCGGGGAGGAAGGCGAUAAGGUUAAUAACCUUGUCGAUUGACGUUACCCGCAGAAGAAGCACCGGCUAACUCCGUGCCAGCAGCCGCGGUAAUACGGAGGGUGCAAGCGUUAAUCGGAAUUACUGGGUGUAAAGCGCACGCAGGCGGUCUGUCAAGUCGGAUGUGAAAUCCCCGGGCUCAACCUGGGAACUGCAUUCGAAACUGGCAGGCUAGAGUCUUGUAGAGGGGGGUAGAAUUCCAGGUGUAGCGGUGAAAUGCGUAGAGAUCUGGAGGAAUACCGGUGGCGAAGGCGGCCCCCUGGACAAAGACUGACGCUCAGGUGCGAAAGCGUGGGGAGCAAACAG